GGACGAACGCUGGCGGCGUGCUUAACCCAUGCAAGUCGAACGGAAAGGCCCUGCUUGCAGGGUACUCGAGUGGCGAACGGGUGAGUAACACGUGGGUGAUCUGCCCUUCACUUCGGGAUAAGCCUGGGAAACUGGGUCUAAUACCGGAUAGGAGCCAUUUUUAGUGUGGUGGUUGGAAAGUUUUUUCGGUGUAGGAUGAGCUCGCGGCCUAUCUGCUUGUUGGUGGGGUGAUGGCCUACCAAGGCGGCGACGGGUAGCCGGCCAGAGAGGGUGGACGGCCACCUUGGGACUGAGAGAAGGCCCAGACGCCGACGGGAGGCAGCAGUGGGGAAUAUUGCACAAUGGGCGCAAGCCUGAUGCAGCGACGCCGCGUGGGGGAUGACGGCCUUCGGGUUGUAAACACCUUUCGCUAGGGACGAAGCUUUUUGUGACGGUACCUAGAGAAGAAGCACCGGCUAACUACGUG
This 466-nucleotide ribosomal RNA is filed under the name uncultured bacterium. RNAcentral describes it as "partial 16S ribosomal RNA". It matches the Rfam family "Bacterial small subunit ribosomal RNA", at positions 27 to 507 of the family's 1533-position model. The record is from RNAcentral.